This is a long non-coding RNA of Thalassophryne amazonica, 198 nucleotides long. RefSeq lists it as uncharacterized. The transcript has 3 exons. The record is from RefSeq and is a predicted model, not a curated record. NCBI's taxonomy places the organism in Eukaryota, Metazoa, Chordata, Actinopteri, Batrachoidiformes, Batrachoididae.
UGUCGGAUAGGUGUAGUAUUUAAAAUCAGACACCAAAAAAACCCAUCUCAAAAUCCCGACGGGAUAUGCAGCAGACUGGAGGGGGAACAGCAGACACCCAAAAGCUGUCAGAGUUGGACUAGCACAUCAGGGUCAUCAUCGGGGAAACGGCACUCUCAGGUAGGCUAUAGGAAAAAUCUAAAUCAUUUUAUAUUUAAU